CAGUCGCCACGGUAAUACGAAGGGGGCUAGCGUUGUUCGGAAUUACUGGGCGUAAAGCGCACGUAGGCGGAUAUUUAAGUCAGGGAUGAAAGCCCAGAGCUCAACUCUGGAACUGCCUUUGAUACUGGGUAUCUUGAGUAUGGAAGAGGUGAGUGGAAUUCCGAGUGUAGAGGUGAAAUUCGUAGAUAUUCGGAGGAACACCAGUGGCGAAGGCGGCUCACUGGUCCAUUACUGACGCUGAGGUGCGAAAGCGUGGGGAGCAAACAGGAUUAGAUACCCGUGUAGUCCCUGUCUCUUAUAC
Molecule: ribosomal RNA, 301 nt
Filed under: uncultured bacterium
Lineage: Bacteria
Description: partial 16S ribosomal RNA
Rfam family: Bacterial small subunit ribosomal RNA
Source: RNAcentral